UGUCUGAAACGUUCUGCUGACACCUUCUGGUAAGAUCUAACCUUGCAGAAUGGGCACAGAAAAGGAUCCGGAGAAAGACAGCAGGUGUCCUGCUCAGAAAUGCCAUGUUGGCCACGUCCCUGCAGGCAAAAACUGGACAUUGAUGUCUCAGAGUCAGAAACUGAACGCUAACACCUCUCCCCCCACCACACCUUCCAGUGACAUUAUAAGGAAGAGAAACAUACCGUCACAGAAAGGAAAGGCAGCAAGGGGCAAGGACCAGCAGAACACUGGCGUUCUCACCUCUCCUUUGUGCAUCGGGGGUUUCUUGACCUGGGAAGACAGCUGAGAAUCCAUGAGAAGCGUCACCAAGACUCAGCUGGUGCUUUCAAAUGAAGGAAUCUAUCCUCCACAUGGCCGCCUGCUCCCGGCCACAUAACCCAAGGCCUUCUCGGAAGAUGACACGGGUCCCUGCAGAUGCAAAUGGUUAACAUAGGAUGAGGUCAUACUGGAGCAGAGUGGGCCCUGAUCCAGUAAGACUCGUGUCCUUAAAAAAACGGGAAAUUUGGACCAGACACAGGCACAAAGGGAGAACACCAUAACACCAUGUGAAGAUUGGAGUUUUACUGCCACAAGCAAAGGAACUUCCAGAUGUGGGGAGAAAGGUGUGGAAGAGACCCUUUCUUCAUAGCCCUCUGUGAGGAAACCAACCCUGCUAACACCUCCAUUUGGGACUUCUAGUCUCCAGAACUAUGAGAUAAUAAA
This is a long non-coding RNA of Lemur catta (Ring-tailed lemur), 744 nucleotides long. RefSeq lists it as uncharacterized. The transcript is spliced from 3 exons. NCBI's taxonomy places the organism in Eukaryota, Metazoa, Chordata, Mammalia, Primates, Lemuridae. The record is from RefSeq and is a predicted model, not a curated record.